Etheostoma spectabile (orangethroat darter) is the source of this 473-nucleotide long non-coding RNA. RefSeq lists it as uncharacterized. The record is from RefSeq and is a predicted model, not a curated record. Lineage: Eukaryota; Metazoa; Chordata; Actinopteri; Perciformes; Percidae. The transcript has 3 exons.
GCUUAAUCUACAUGGGUGAAUAUCCAGAAAACCUUGUGCAGCAAUAUGUGGCAGGGCAUAGAUGAAGACGCCAUCAAUGAGGCCAUUGAAGACACCACUGUUGGGAUUUAUGUUCUUAAAGAACAUGCUUCAAGUGAUGAACCGGAGGACAUCGGAAUGGUCAUUGAAGGCAUCACGGUGUUGAUAAUGCAGCACAGAGAAGGAUGGAUUCAAACGCACGGCUCAUAGGGAAGGUAUUUAUUGAGGAAAAGGGAGUGGGAGUAGGGAGAUUUACGCCGGGAGUGGGAGUAGGGAGAUGGACGCCGGGAGCAAGCGGGCGGCAACCCGGGGGAAUCUGGAACGGGACGUGGGGAGCGGCUCCGGGAGGGACCGGGAGCAAGGGCCGAGGAGGAGGCGAGGGCACAAGGAGCUGAGGCACGAGGAAUGGAGCAGGAUGGUGAUGAGGGGGAGACACGGGCACGGAGAGCGGAGGC